GAGGGGCUGGGGAGCCUCGGGGAGCCUCGGGGAGCCUGGCGGAGCCGGGAGCUCGGCGGGGCUUGGAGCCCCGCUUCCUUGCAGGCCUUAGGGGUUGCUCUGAGGACCGAUGACUCGGAAGGCGCUCAGAAGAACGCUUCGCCCAUUGGUGCUAUGGACUGAAGCCAGCCUUAAAUCACCUCAAGCCCUGAGAGAAUUAAGGUGAGCCGCUCACCUGGACACCUGCGGACAGAAAAGUACACCUUCCCUGGAGGAAGGUAAAACAAAACAGAAACAGAAGUCCUCACUGCACAGUGCUGGAAUGGAUCCGGGUCAGAAAAAAUUAUUAUAAAGUGCGUGACGGGGACAUUCACAAUUUGGAAUAUGCCUUGUAUAUUGUGCAACAAAAUUCUACCAAUGAUAAACUCCAGAAUUUUUUGUUUUCGUUUUUUUAGAUGAAGUUUCACUCUGUUGUCCAGGCCGGAGUGCAGUGGUGCGAUCUCAACUCAUUGCAACCUCUGCCUCAGCCUCCUGAGUAGCUGGGAUUACAGGCGUGAGCCACCACGCCCAGCUAAUUUUUGUAUUUUCAGCAGAGACAGGGUUUCACCAUCUUGGCCAGGCUGUUCUCGACCUCCUGACCUCAAAUGAUCCACCCGCCUCAGCCUCCCAAAGUGCUGGGAUUACAGGCGUGAGCCACCACGCCGGGCCAAACUCCAGAAUUAUUAAAUGACUCAAUGAUUGCAUCACGGUUGUGAAUGGAGAUUUUUUGUUCAUUUGUGAUCUAUGCUGAAGUGUUUAGAGGUGAAAAAUCAUUAGAUUUGUAACCAAAAUUGCUCUGGAAAUUAAGGCAAAAACAACGAUUUAGAUUACAUACAGAGACUGAGAUAAAAGCAAAGGUAGCAAAAUAUUAACAAUUGGUGAACCUGGGUGAAAACUAUGUACUGUUACUGCAACUUUUCUGUGAAUUCAAAAUUUUUCAAAAUGAAAACAUUGAAAAAAAUAUUAAAACCUCAUGAAACUUAGUAAAAAUUUAUUGAAUGAUA
Long non-coding RNA from Pongo pygmaeus (Bornean orangutan), 1022 nucleotides. RefSeq lists it as uncharacterized. NCBI's taxonomy places the organism in Eukaryota, Metazoa, Chordata, Mammalia, Primates, Hominidae. The record is from RefSeq and is a predicted model, not a curated record. The transcript is spliced from 2 exons.